AUGGCCGCCACCGCGUCCCUGUCUGCCGUCGCGGCGCCCCUGUCCGUCGCCGGGCUCAAGAAGGCCGCGUCGUUCCGGCCCCUGCCGGUGGUCAGGGCCGGCAGGCCCGCGGCGAGGAUGACGGCCGUCCGGGCGUCCUCCGCGUCCGUGCAGGAGAAGCUCACGGCCGGGCUGACCGCGGCGGCCGUGGCGGCGGCGCUGGUGCUGCCCGAGGUCGCGGAGGCCGCGUCCCCGGGGCUGUCCCCGUCGCUCAAGAACUUCCUGCUCAGCAUCGUGUCCGGCGGGGUCGUCUUCGCCGGCAUCGCCGGGGCCGUCGUCGCCGUCUCCAACUUCGACCCCGUCAAGAGGACCUGA
Molecule: ribosomal RNA, 354 nt
Filed under: Triticum aestivum (bread wheat)
Lineage: Eukaryota; Viridiplantae; Streptophyta; Magnoliopsida; Poales; Poaceae
Description: partial small subunit ribosomal RNA
Source: RNAcentral